UAGGGGUAAUGGAUUGGGGCUGCUAACUUUGAUCCGGGGCAGGCUGCUCCGCCUCUAU
RNAcentral lists this transfer RNA (58 nucleotides) under Auriculastra duplicata. RNAcentral's name for it is "tRNA-Ser". Lineage: Eukaryota; Metazoa; Mollusca; Gastropoda; Ellobiida; Ellobiidae. The record is from RNAcentral.